RNAcentral lists this ribosomal RNA (1442 nucleotides) under uncultured organism. RNAcentral describes it as "SSU rRNA". It matches the Rfam family "Bacterial small subunit ribosomal RNA". The record is from RNAcentral.
AACGCUAGCUACAGGCUUAACACAUGCAAGUCGAGGGGCAUCAGGAAGAAAGCUUGCUUUCUUUGCUGGCGACCGGCGCACGGGUGAGUAACACGUAUCCAACCUGCCCUUUACUCGGGGAUAGCCUUUCGAAAGAAAGAUUAAUACCCGAUGGCAUAAUGAUUCCGCAUGGUUUCAUUAUUAAAGGAUUCCGGUAAAGGAUGGGGAUGCGUUCCAUUAGGUUGUUGGUGAGGUAACGGCUCACCAAGCCUUCGAUGGAUAGGGGUUCUGAGAGGAAGGUCCCCCACAUUGGAACUGAGACACGGUCCAAACUCCUACGGGAGGCAGCAGUGAGGAAUAUUGGUCAAUGGGCGCUAGCCUGAACCAGCCAAGUAGCGUGAAGGAUGAAGGCUCUAUGGGUCGUAAACUUCUUUUAUAUAAGAAUAAAGUGCAGUAUGUAUACUGUUUUGUAUGUAUUAUAUGAAUAAGGAUCGGCUAACUCCGUGCCAGCAGCCGCGGUAAUACGGAGGAUCCGAGCGUUAUCCGGAUUUAUUGGGUUUAAAGGGAGCGUAGGUGGACUGGUAAGUCAGUUGUGAAAGUUUGCGGCUCAACCGUAAAAUUGCAGUUGAUACUGUCAGUCUUGAGUACAGUAGAGGUGGGCGGAAUUCGUGGUGUAGCGGUGAAAUGCUUAGAUAUCACGAAGAACUCCGAUUGCGAAGGCAGCUCACUGGACUGCAACUGACACUGAUGCUCGAAAGUGUGGGUAUCAAACAGGAUUAGAUACCCUGGUAGUCCACACAGUAAACGAUGAAUACUCGCUGUUUGCGAUAUACAGUAAGCGGCCAAGCGAAAGCAUUAAGUAUUCCACCUGGGGAGUACGCCGGCAACGGUGAAACUCAAAGGAAUUGACGGGGGCCCGCACAAGCGGAGGAACAUGUGGUUUAAUUCGAUGAUACGCGAGGAACCUUACCCGGGCUUAAAUUGCAGUGGAAUGAUGUGGAAACAUGUCAGUGAGCAAUCACCGCUGUGAAGGUGCUGCAUGGUUGUCGUCAGCUCGUGCCGUGAGGUGUCGGCUUAAGUGCCAUAACGAGCGCAACCCUUAUCUUUAGUUACUAACAGGUUAUGCUGAGGACUCUAGAGAGACUGCCGUCGUAAGAUGUGAGGAAGGUGGGGAUGACGUCAAAUCAGCACGGCCCUUACGUCCGGGGCUACACACGUGUUACAAUGGGGGGUACAGAAGGCAGCUAGCGGGUGACCGUAUGCUAAUCCCAAAAGCCUCUCUCAGUUCGGAUCGAAGUCUGCAACCCGACUUCGUGAAGCUGGAUUCGCUAGUAAUCGCGCAUCAGCCACGGCGCGGUGAAUACGUUCCCGGGCCUUGUACACACCGCCCGUCAAGCCAUGGGAGCCGGGGGUACCUGAAGUACGUAACCGCAAGGAUCGUCCUAGGGUAAAACUGGUGACUG